Long non-coding RNA from Culex quinquefasciatus (southern house mosquito), 1197 nucleotides. RefSeq lists it as uncharacterized. The transcript has 4 exons. NCBI's taxonomy places the organism in Eukaryota, Metazoa, Arthropoda, Insecta, Diptera, Culicidae. The record is from RefSeq and is a predicted model, not a curated record.
GAAACUAAAAUCAUGAUUGAUUAUAUAUGCCAACGGCACAUAACUGUAUCUCAGAUCAGCUUAUUAAAACUUAUGAAUUGUCAUUAUGAACUUCGUGUACCACAUAUAAAUUUGAAUAACAAUCAUCAUAGAUUUUAUAUGCGUAUCGCACAUAACCGAGUUUGCUUCCUUCCUAACAAAAAAUAUUGUUUACGCAAAUAAACUUUGUGAGCAUUGCAUAUAAGUUGUAUGUGCGCGAUGCUAUAGAUUUUUGCUGUAUGCUUUUACACAUAAAAUUUACAUGCAAUGCUCACAACAUUUAUGUAUGCGUCUCGGUAUGCGGCCAUAAAACGUUUUUUUCUGAACAAGAUGGCGAAAAUUGGAAAAAAAUUUUAGUCGAGGGUUUUGUGCCAACAUUUAUUGGCAUUUUUUCAAUAGUCAAAUUGUUUAAAAGCCUACUGCUAGAUCUAGGGUAGAUAAAUUCAACGCCACGUUGGAGUUGCUCCAAUCCAGCUCCUUUAACCGGAUCUCCCGCCAAAGUGUAAAAAAGUGGUUCUCGCAGGCGGACAUUGGCGCCGUCGCUAAAAGCCGCUAAACCUCGUUGUUUGGACGUUCGACUCGCGUGAAGAAGCGGGUUUGAAACGGCGUGAAUCGACGAUCCGUCGGAAAGUCGACUUCCGUGACAGGCAAACCCAGCAUAAGUUUUCCGGAUCAAAGAUGUUCAAAGCUUGCGGUGCUGAGGCCGAUUCCUCAGAUUGGUCAGGUUCUGAAGAUGAACCCCGUUGGCGAGAUCGGGUCUAGCAACAAGAAGGCCGUCGAUCUACAUGCCGGUGCUGAAUUGAAAGGCCACCUGAAGGUCAAAAUCCGACUGGUCCACGAGAAGACGAAGUAACGUCACCGAACACGAGCGAAACGGCCAUGCUGGCUCAGGAAAGCUCGGGCGCUUCUUUGGCAGCACGUCGGACACGACCCGGUGCCGGCGGAGCAAGUGAUGGAGGAAGUGGAAGAAACUGAAUCUUCAAGCUGCUCGACGUGAUUUCUUGUGGUACAAAACGCAAUUGUUUUAAAAAAAAGUAUUUGAAAAAAAUUUCAACAAUACAUUAUAAGAAUUUUUUAAUAUUGGAAGAAAGUUUAAUCAGCAAUUCAACAUUAGGAAUAGUAAAUGAAAACAAAAUACACCACUCUUGAUAAUCAAAAGAAAAAUACAUUGAAAAUUAU